GGGGAUCGCAUUCUCCACACAAGAGUUGCAGCACUCUAAAGCUCCCCUUGGCCUUCUCUGGUGAUUCCUGCACACUCUUAGACACACGCUUUCAGCCGUCUAACUCAGGACCAAGACGUCCCACCUGCAGGUGAGCAGCGGAGGCAAGCCUGAGAAAAGUUAUCGAUACGCGCGGAUCAGCUGGAAUCCAUAGGCGUUCAGAGGACAGGAACGGGACAGGACACGCACCCUCAACUCACACAGCAGCACCACAGACAUGUCGGACUCUGAGACCGCCGCUGCCCCCGCUGAAGCCCCCGUCCCUGCUGCUUGUGCCAGCAUCAAGGCUGACCUGGACAAAUGUGUGGCAGAGAAGGGAGCCGAGGGCUGCAAAGAUCUGAUGGAGGCCUUUGCUGCUUGUGUGAAGAGUGCGGCUGAAGGGACGUCAUGAGGAGCUGCCCUCCGACCUCAAAUGUCCACUGCACUGAGUCCUCCAAGUUCCCAGCAUUCCCUUCUGCACAACAGCACCGGAAUGAGAGAUGACGAUGAUGAUCAUGGCGUGACAAACGUGUUGAUUUGGGCUGAGUUUGGGAUCUGGCAGCAGUAACCACAGUUUCCUCCCCCUGUCCUUCCCCCUGUUUUUGGCUCAUCUGGUGUCCCUCCGUCUUACCGCCAUUCCCCUUCUCCCUCUAUGGCUGACGUACAGUACAUCGACUUGCAAACAAUUCCAGAGAGCCGAUGAGCUGUAAUGUAAAUUGUCGACCUGAGAUGAAUACUUAUAAAUGGAAAUAAAAGUAUCAAGGUAAUUGGUAUA
This is a long non-coding RNA of Xiphias gladius (swordfish), 793 nucleotides long. RefSeq lists it as uncharacterized. The record is from RefSeq and is a predicted model, not a curated record. The transcript has 5 exons. NCBI's taxonomy places the organism in Eukaryota, Metazoa, Chordata, Actinopteri, Istiophoriformes, Xiphiidae.